This is a long non-coding RNA of Cygnus olor (mute swan), 2157 nucleotides long. RefSeq lists it as uncharacterized. The transcript has 3 exons. NCBI's taxonomy places the organism in Eukaryota, Metazoa, Chordata, Aves, Anseriformes, Anatidae. The record is from RefSeq and is a predicted model, not a curated record.
UCCGAACAGCUGCAAGGAAGUCUGCCUUAUUGCUGCGAUUUGAGCAAGAAUUAUAUGGCGCUAGGAAAGGCCUGCCUCCGAUCAGAGAAGCAGCGAUGCGGCCAUUUCUGCGAUACACAACGGACUCUGUUUUAAUCAGAGGUAGAUGCAUUUUUGUUAAUAGUGUUUUCCCUUGCAGUGAGACACUCGCGAGCCUCCAAGCACUUUGCAGAGUCGGGGGAAGGCCCUCAGCGGAGCUGGUAUGUGGUUGUGUUGCAGCCGUGGAGCAGGUCCUGAGGCCGGUGCUUGCCUCCCCCCUGGGCAGACCUCGUCGGGCAGGAGGAGGCAGCGAGCCCCUCGGUGCCGGCAGCAUCCCACCGGGUGCACAGAGCUGCAGCCCUGCCGCCUGCUCCUGCCAGAGCCUUGCGUCGAGUGCGCUGCACUGGGAGAUGCUCUUGUCUGCGAGGAGGCUCUGGGGGUGUGGGGCAUGGGGUGAGGCGAGGGAGGCUUCUCCGUACCCAGGGAGAGUUUUGGAGCAGUCAUCUCCUGCUGCGAGCGGGUGACAGCAGCGGUGCUGCUACCAUCUGUUGGUGAGCAGCAGGAAGGGAGCGACCACAAACCCGUCCGUAGCUCGCAUCCCGCGUGGCGCUGGGGAGGGUGCUGCCAGGACCUCGCUGAAGGGUUGGGUCAGACAUGUCCCUGGGGACGGUCCCAAAGGGCUGUCAGAAUUCUGGGUCUCCAAGCAUAUUAUGACACAAAUGCCAUUUAGGAUGGGUCUGAGAGGAGGUUUAGGAACUGCGGUCACAGUGAUGGAACGCUUGGGAAGCAUCUCCCGGCAUCUCCCCUCUGCUCCCUGGUUCUCUGGCAGUGAUGGCAGGGACCCGACCGAUGUAGUCCUCCUGGAAAAAGCACGAGGUUUAUGGCUGUGGAUGUAUGUAUCAGAGGAUGCACAUGUAAUUUGCACAAGAGUAAUGGACUAGAGCCCUCUAAAAGGAGAGGACCAUGUUCAUGGCUAAAAGUAGGAAAGUAUGUUAAAAAAGAAAACUGGCGCUGCAUCUGUGCAGCUCCCAAAAUACUAAGGGUGAGGUUCUGAAAAGGCCCGAACUCACUGGGAAUUCAUUUCCACGGGAAGUCGACAGGAGCCCAGCGCUGAGCUGGCCUGACCUCAUCGGAGAGCACCAGUGCGGUGCCUGCUGCGUGUGCCAGGCACGGUGGCAGCGCCUCGCAGAGCCCACGUGGGAUCCCCGGCGUGAGCAAAACUUCCCCGAGGCCUGGCUGGCCCGUGCGGCGCCAGGAGGAGCCAGUCCUCGCUUAGCCAGGCUCACACGGCACUCUGCAAAAGGGGGCUAGUGGAAACCUCGCAUCUUUCUGCUAUUGAUGGCUUGUGAGGGUAUGACUCCAGCAGAGUGUGGUCAAAUAGAUUAACUUCAUUAAAGAUUCAUCACCGAGUAACUGGACAUUUAAUGUACCUGUACGGCUAGCGUAGCAGCUCUGCACUUUGAUUAACAAUUUUCCUCACUCAGAGAAACGACGCUCGCAUGCAGUAAAACAGUUUUCUGUCCCAAAAUCCAGUGGCAGUGCGAUCGUCGUUAGCGAGGACCGGUUAAUUUUAGGCAGUGCACCCUGUGCAGAGCAGCAGAGGCUCCGUGCGGCAGCGGGGUCGCUGUGCUGCCCGUGUGGUUCAAACCAGACGCGUGUGCCCGCGGGAGAGCUGGGUCCCUGCCAGCACGGGCACAGCAAGUGCCCCGGCCCCAGGGGGCUGGUGCCAGGCGGUGCCGCCACGGGCUCUCGGCCUCGCCGGCUUUUGUUGGGAGCGUGCUGGGAGCGUUUGGGGUUCGCAAACCUAAAGCCCGCGUGUGCUGCUUGAAUCCCCGAGCCCCUUUGUGCUCGGAGCAGGCUGCGCCUCGGAGGCGACGGGCUCCUGUCGCUGGCGUGAAUGAAGGCGGUCGAUGCGCGGCCGAGCCAGGCGGGAUGGCGCAGCGCUCGCGUGAGCGGGGCUGGCCGCUGCUCCCUGCCGCCGGCUGCAAAGCUAGAGCUGCCAGCGCUGCGUGCUGCUCUCCCGCCCUCCUCUUCCCCCCGCCGUGCCGCCGCUUUCUCACAGCUCCCGCUGCUUCAUUUUCCUCCCCCAGCUCCGGUUGCCAUGACCCGCCAGGCUGGCCGCCGGCAGGAAUUCGUGCC